UCAGGUAGGAAUACCCGCUGAACUUAAGCAUAUCA
This 35-nucleotide ribosomal RNA is filed under the name Sarcinomyces sp. SL10226. RNAcentral's name for it is "partial 28S ribosomal RNA". Lineage: Eukaryota; Fungi; Ascomycota; Eurotiomycetes; Chaetothyriales. The record is from RNAcentral.